GUAGGGAAUAUUGGACAAUGGGCGAAAGCCUGAUCCAGCCAUGCCGCGUGAUAGAUGAAGGCCCUCUGGGUUGUAAAUAUCUUUUAUCUGGGAAGAAACUCCUCUAUUCUUAGAGGCCUGACGGUACCAGAGGAAUAAGCACCGGCUAACUCCGUGCCAGCAGCCGCGGUAAUACGGAGGGUGCAAGCGUUAUCCGGAUUCACUGGGUUUAAAGGGUGCGUAGGCGUGUUGAUAAGUCAGUGGUGAAAGCUCCGGGCUUAACUUGGAAACUGCGAGUGAUACUGUCAGUCUUGAAUGUCGUAGAGGUAAGCGGAAUGUUGCAUGUAGCGGUGAAAUGCUUAGAUAUGUUACAGAACACCAAUUGCGAAGGCAGCUUACUAUGCGAUAAUUGACGCUGAGGCACGAAAGCGUGGGGAGCAAACAGGAUUAGAAACCCCGGUAGUCC
This 445-nucleotide ribosomal RNA is filed under the name uncultured bacterium. Its description in RNAcentral is "partial 16S ribosomal RNA". It matches the Rfam family "Bacterial small subunit ribosomal RNA", at positions 354 to 796 of the family's 1533-position model. The record is from RNAcentral.